Cyprinus carpio (common carp) is the source of this 2018-nucleotide long non-coding RNA. RefSeq lists it as uncharacterized. The transcript is spliced from 7 exons. The record is from RefSeq and is a predicted model, not a curated record. NCBI's taxonomy places the organism in Eukaryota, Metazoa, Chordata, Actinopteri, Cypriniformes, Cyprinidae.
UCAGACCCGAGGCUGUUUUGGUGGACUUCUCCAGGGCCAGAAACCUGUCCAGCUUCUGUGCAAAAUCAGGGGGCAGGUUGUGAGGGGAUCUGUGUGUCUUCAUGGUGGUGCUCAGCUCUUCUAAAAGGAAGCUAAAAUAAGAUAUUCAAGGCCACCUUUCAGAUGAAAGGCCAGGUACAACACAGCAGAUUUCUUCACACUGAGAAAGGGCAGCUUUGGCUUGAGUUGACCAACAGCAGUCAUGGCUUUGAUUAUGGGUACUGCCACACUCUAAAAGAGAAAACAAACAUAUUUCAGAAAAAAUAUGUGUACAAUAAUAGCAAACGCAACUGUGGUUAAGAUAAGUAAAUAAAUUAACACAAAAAAACAAAGCUUUAAACACUAUUUUACCACUUGUUAAAAACAUGGUUUACUGAUGGUUACACAAUUAUGUGACCAAUAUUUAUAGGUGGACAAAAGCAGCAUAUUCUGUGUUUCAGUGCCCUCUUACUUGUUCCAAAUAGCCCAGGAUCGGUAAAGAGGUUAGUGAGACCGGAUCUUCCAACGGAGGAAGUUUAUGUGGAAGUUUCUGGUCCCAGUAAGUCUCGGGUGACCUAAGAACAGUUCUGUUGUGAAAUAUCUGUUUUCUAUUUUAAAAUGCAUUUUAUUUCUGUAAUGGCAAAGUAAUUGCACUAGCCAAUCAGGAAUCCCCUCUGCAAAAUAACUACUCACUGGAGAAAUUUUUCUUGUUUCUUUUCACUCUCAAAGAUGUAGAUCUUAUUUUGGUACUCAACAGCAUAUUCUGUCUUUCCACGCACCAAAGCCUCAUACCUACAGAUAAGUGACAGGGCAGAAACCCUUCAUCUCCACCUGUUGAGGGAACCUACUCUUCACCUGGCCUGUACUGAGCUUAUGAGGCAGGAGUGGAGGAGGAGGUAAUGGGUAGGGGCAACCUGGAGCCACAAACUGUUCUGGGGACUCUAGGAAUUUUUAUUAAACACAUAAAGAGAGAUGUGAGUGAAUUAAACCAAUAUUUCUGUGUGCUGCUGCCUGGACCAUCUGAUCCUUUACCUCUAGAAAUUCCCUGCUGGCCAUUUUGUAGAAGUGGCCCCUGAACUCUGCAGCCAAUUCCAGUGAGGUAUUAUGUGAACAGUCCACCAGAUGGCGAUGAAGAGCUAAGCUAACUGGACAGUACUGCCCAAACUCCCCUAGCCGGGACUGCAGCUCUCGUGGGGUGAUGCACAGUCUGUCUAUACAGGCUGCCUGGCCUGUAAUCAUGAAUGUGUCUCAAGCUAAUGCGAACCUCAUCUAAAACUCGCUCCCACACCCACCACUUGCUCUUGUGAGCAUCAAUGGGAGUCCAGUUGUGAUACUGUUGAUGAAAGUGUAGCCUGAGAGCUUCAACUUCCCGCCUGAAGCAAGAGUUGCGUAUGUUUAGGACCUGGGGGCUGUCAUGCAUUGGGCCUCUCCGCAGCACUUCUGCCGUGUCCAGUUGCAGUUCAAUCACUAGCAUAGGAAUAAUGCUGCAGGAUUCCAGCAAUUCAGCCUGAUGCUUGGUCACAGGGAAGCCAUCCAACACAAACCUGAGGAUCACAAUCAGGAAACUCCUCCAGCAGCAUGGCCUCCAUCUCCUCCAAAUCCUGCUGCUCUUCAUCCAUCUCCUCUGAUUCUUCUUGCUCCUCCUCGUCAUCCUCAUCCUGAUGGAGCAACAAAAAUCCAGUCAGAAUCUGUCUGAGCCAUUCAGCGAAGCAAGGCACAAUGACAGCGAUGGAUGACCUGUUCUCUGAGAGGCCUCAGAGUGAGUGGGCUGGGUUUUUUAGGUGCAAAUUCAGCCAUUAGCUCAGCUCUUCUCUGUGUGAUGGCCCGCUCCUGCAGUUUGACACAGACCAAUGAAUAUUUAGUCCAAAAAAAAAAAGUUUCACCUGCUUUACGCUUAAUGACCAGACACAACUGUUCUUGCCUGCGGUCUCGUCUCUCUCUCCAACGUGUGAGCUGUGAAGGCAGGAGACGCCGCACCACGUCAGAAACCUCUACCGACA